Gasterosteus aculeatus aculeatus (three-spined stickleback) is the source of this 1096-nucleotide long non-coding RNA. RefSeq lists it as uncharacterized. NCBI's taxonomy places the organism in Eukaryota, Metazoa, Chordata, Actinopteri, Perciformes, Gasterosteidae. The record is from RefSeq and is a predicted model, not a curated record.
GCUUAUCGGCAGACGUCAGGAGACGGGUAGCCCGAGCAGCCACAUCCGUGUCUUCGCGUUCGGCCCCGUGACGCGCUGCCGGUGUGGAUCUCGGUCGCGAGCUCCCCCGGAAGUAAGGCAAGCGGCUGACGGCGGACAGGAUUUCAACGUUCCCCCGGAAACAUGUUUACAACUGAGGUUCGACGGUGACGCGAGGGCCGCAUGUUCCUUCAUCGGAGGGUGCGACGACUGCGCGACCCUCCCCGUGGAUGAAGGAGCUGCUGCUAGUCUGACCCCCCCCCUGUCUGCCUCACCAUGCCGCUGGUGUUGGACGCCGUGUGGGCGCUGUGGAGCAUUGGAGCCGGCAUCUACGACUACUUCCACACCAGCGCCAUGGAGGAGAGGAUCCACGAGCUGGAGAACGUCCUCUCCAUCCACCAGUUUGUGAUGGCGGGCCUGGCGGCGGGCCUCCUGCUGCUCGUCACCUACAUACUGUGGAGAAAACACUGAAGCGCAGAUUGUGUGGGCGCUCACACGUUCAGGACGUCCCGCGUGAGGUCGGACACCCGAUGGGACUCGAGGACUCUGAGACUAGUCCGCUCCUCUUUUGGGUUUGUCUCUGUGAUUUUGGAUGUAAAACUAAUACUUCUCAAGGGCACUUUGCACUUUGACCCCUCAAAAAAUGAUGCCAUUUUUUAAAUGUGUGCUGAUAGGCGGAGACACAUAGAAUUUUAACCUUUUGGAUUUGUUACAGAAGUUGUUUUUUUAACUCCGUUAUCCCGACAUCACAACGCAAUGACCUCGAGAUCAGUGGUGUUCUCAUGUUUCACACAUCGGGCUGCUCAGUAGUGCUCAUUAAUUUAUCUCAAUGUGGAAGUGACGGGCAUCAGGUCAUGUGACUUUCUUGCUGAGCCUCUUUCAUCAGGAGACUGUUAACUUUUAAAACUUUAGCUCUGUAAAGUUGGCUUGAAAACAAAACACAAAUGGGUUCUGCAGACGGCCUCAUGAUUUAAUCCAAAUAUUGCUUUCCAUAACUAUUCACUUUCUGGGGUUAAGCACUACCGUGGAUUCCGUUAACAGGAAUAUGUUUAAAUAAUAAAUCAUUACUGGCGUUCAA